This 890-nucleotide long non-coding RNA is filed under the name Vitis vinifera (wine grape). Its description in RNAcentral is "long non-coding RNA (VVIN_LNC002461)". The record is from RNAcentral. Lineage: Eukaryota; Viridiplantae; Streptophyta; Magnoliopsida; Vitales; Vitaceae.
UAUAGAUUCCUUUUUGUAAAGAAUAUUAUAUAGAAUAUUUCUAGGUUGAUAUAUUAUUGUAAUAUUAGACUUCCUUAUAGAAUAAGGAAGGUUGUUGGAAAUAUCUCUAUAAAUAUUCUAGGUCAUGAGGGGAAAAAGUUAUGAGAUGGAGAUGGACCUGUAGAGACUAUAUGAGGUGGAUAGAGAUGUGAAGAAGAACGGGAGGUACUCGGUGGAGCGAGAGGACUCGUAGUAAGGUAUGGAUACAACGAGUGGGGAUACAUGGGAUGUUUCGGGAACCCAAUAAUUGUAUCCGGUUUUGUCCUCUAUAAUAUUCUCUAUUGUAUAAUGGAAUCAUUAUCUCUCAUCCGUGGACAUAGGCAUGGUUGGCCGAACCACGUUAAAACCUCGUGUACCGUAUGUGUGAUUGUUUUAUCUUUGUGUUCUCGAACUAACAUUGUUGGCAUCAGAGCUUUUGUUAGCACUACAACUAGUAUCAGAGCUUGGGUUGAAGAUUUCUGGAAGAGUAAAAGAUCACAAAACAUAUAAGAUGAAAACAAAAAGAAUUUUCAUUGAAGGUGGAGUCGAUUGCUCUUUCAUGGCGAUAUGAUACAAAAAGGUUUGUGUCAUGGAGAGAUUGAAGAUUAACUUCAUGGAAUUUGGUAAAAGGUGGAGAUUGUUAGGAAGUGUCCCAAAUUCCUAAUUAGUAUAGAUUCAUUUUUGCAAAGAAUAUUAUAUAGAAUAUUUUUAGGUUGAUAUAUUAUUGUAAUUUUAGACUUCCUUAUAGAAUAAGGAAGAUUGUUGGAAAUAUCUCUAUAAAUAUUCUAGGUCAUGAGGGGAAUAAGUUAUGAGAUGGAGAUGGACCUAUAGAGACUAUACGAGGUGGAUAGAGAUGUGAGGAAGAACGGGAG